RNAcentral lists this unclassified non-coding RNA (322 nucleotides) under uncultured fungus. RNAcentral's name for it is "partial contains small subunit ribosomal RNA, internal transcribed spacer 1, and 5.8S ribosomal RNA". The stretch from base 1 to 73 matches the Rfam family "Eukaryotic small subunit ribosomal RNA", at positions 1759 to 1831 of the family's 1831-position model. Lineage: Eukaryota; Fungi. The record is from RNAcentral.
ACAAACUUGGUCAUUUAGAGGAAGUAAAAGUCGUAACAAGGUUUCCGUAGGUGAACCUGCGGAAGGAUCAUUAACGAGUUCUGACAUGGGUUGUAGCUGGCCUCACGAGGCAUGUGCACGCCCUGCUCAUCCACUCUACACCUGUGCACUUACUGUAGGUUUGGCGUGGGCUUCGAGGGCCUUCACGGGCUUUUGAGGCAUUCUGCCUGCCUAUGUAUCACUACAAACACUAUAAAGUAACAGAAUGUAAUCGCGUCUAACGCAUCUUAAUACAACUUUCAGCAACGGAUCUCUUGGCUCUCGCAUCGAUGAAGAACGCAGC